Molecule: long non-coding RNA, 2497 nt
Organism: Antechinus flavipes (yellow-footed antechinus)
Lineage: Eukaryota; Metazoa; Chordata; Mammalia; Dasyuromorphia; Dasyuridae
Exons: 2
Source: RefSeq, a predicted model, not a curated record
GGAAUAGAUAAGGUGAAGAACUUACAGGGAUGUAUGAAUUCUUUUUCUGUAUUUUAUUAUUUCUGUGUCUCCCCUAUGACCUGUAUAAUAUGUGCAGGCUCAUAUCUAUUUGAGCCUUGGCCAGCUAGAAACAUAUUUACUUAACCUGAACUGAUGACAUUUAUUGGUAUUUGACAUUUAUCAAUAUUUAGUCUAUUAGCUGGACCACUGUCUGCUUGAUUAAGCCUGAACGCCUGACUUUAUUUCCCAGAAAUCAGGAGAUUUCAGGGAAACAGAAACCUUCCGUUCCAAUCUCCCCAAAUAGCAACAACCAAUUAGAUGCCUCCCCCUCCCCUUCUCAAUGCUCUCUUACUUGUGAUGUAAUUUCUUGUAUAAAAGCUAUGUAUCUUUACUACUUCUUUAGCCCUCCUACCUCGAGCUUAUCUUGCGAUGGAACAGCUCAUCCUCUGGAGGUUUUUCAAUAAACAACUUUUCUGCCUUCUACUGAGGGAUCUCUGAGUAGUCAUUUUGGGUAAGGGUCUUCUACAUCCCUCACAGUUGGGGGCUCGUCCGGGAUGGGAUCUUUGGGGGAGAUAGCUAUGUGUACCCCGAACAGGGACAGGCGCCCACGGAGUAGUUUUCUCCAUGGUCUCUGGCUUUGGGUGAGCAGCCUCCCUCCCCUCUUAGACAACAACCCGAAGCAGGGAUACUCAGUGGAACGCAGAAUUGAAGAUUGAAAGAAGUAGAGUCCUGAUGGCCGGCAUUUGCAGCCUGAAAAGAAACAUAUGUUCUCGAGAUUAUUGAAUCUCUUCUGAGACAUGGAUCGGCCCAUCUGAAGCUUAGAUUGACACCACACCCACACCCCUGCAUGAAUUGAGCACCUUCGCCCAUUUCUCAGCCUGAAGCAGCUAAGAUCGAGACCAUCGCCAGUGCUCCUGAUGUAAUUUGGACUGAUAUGGGGGAAGUGGGAAAGUGGUUGAUGAAUUAUUGUUAAAAUUACAACUCUAUUACUAGAGUUAGAAAAAAAAUGCAAACAUUACUGUGUGUUUAAGAUUUGGGAUGGAAAUUAUUAAAAAUAGUAACUAUUGCUGUUAAGGAAGUUAUAAUAUGUUUAUAAUAUCUAUGUUCACUUCAGAAUAUGUAAUUGUUUAAGGUAUUUGAUUUGAUUUGAUUUGAUUUGAUUGAUUUUAGGAAACUCCUCCUGUACUAGACUGUUAUGUAUGUAGGAACUUUAAUUCACUCUUGGGAUUUAUAUGUGGAUGGUAAUUUGACUAUUUAUUAUUAUUAUUUUUUUUUUGGAUGAUUCCUUUCCAUGAGGAAAAAAAAGGAGAGGAAGAGAUAGGGAACUAGGGAAACUGGUGGAUUUUUCUCAAAAUACCUAAAAGAGUGGGAACCCUUAGUUUUCUUUCACUUUUGCCUUAUGUACUUCUGCCCCACCCCCUAUACCACCAGUUCAGAUUGAAUUGGAAGUCCUUAAACAAUCCUUUUUGUUUUUACUAUGUUUUAGCUUUGAAACCCCUUAUUCUGUGGAAUUGCCCUGGCAGACUCAGUUUUGGGAACUAUUCUGUUUUAAAGAAAUCUCUAAGAUAAAGACAUUUGUCUUGGGACUGGCAAUCACCAGCCCUGUAACCCCAGUUUCUUAACUGGUACCUCAGCAUUUUUAAUAACAUUGCCCUUUUGAGAUCAAGCCUCUAAAGUUUGGGGUUUGCCUGCCUUCAUGUUCUAACUGUGCAUGCUCUGAUAGCUCUGCUCAGAAAUCUGUAUUCCAGUAGCAGCCCUGUCUGUCCCCCUGGGUGGGGACAGGUGGAGCUACUCUAAGCCUCACCCUUCUCCCCUAGAGUGGGUUGCCCCUCUGAAUGGGCAGCAUGACUGUCUCGAGCCUUGCUACUUCCUUUAUAAGCAGAAGCUGAGUUAAGUGCACAAAUGACUGCAGACCACCUAACACAGUGAACUGUCCAUCUCAAACUGGAUUCUCUGGCUGAGAUGAGGGCUUUUGUACUGCUGAUAACUCUGGGGUUGUCAGGAAGAGACUUGCUCUUGCUAUAAGUCCUUGCAUUUUCUAGUUUCAUUUUGACUUAUUUGCCUCACAUUGGAUUGGUCAAAAUUAUGGUGCUGAGACCUCCCAGAUAUCUUGGGGAGGUAAUUCAAUAAUUCAAAUAUUCAGAAGAAGAGUGUGUAAUGUUGUGCCUCAGUUUCCCUAGAUUGUCAUCUUUAUUUAUCUUUGUAUUUUUAUGUUUGCCAAAUGCCAAUCUGUUCUGUGAUAACUGUUUCUAAGAUAGUUGGUGGAAGCAAUUUUUAUGGUAUGAACUUAUUGCAGUCAAUGGUAUUAUCCUGUUGCUGCUAUGUCUAUCCUGUAUAAUUACAUUAGUAACCAGAAUAGUUCAGUGGUCCUUAUCAAAAUAUUGCAUACAGAAAAUGCUAUUAAAAUGAUGAUUCUUCAGAGAAAAGACUGGAAUGUAUUAAAGAGGGAUGAUCUUGAUUGUGAACUUGAUAAACAAUGUAUAUAUAGAUAUACUAA